CAGAUGGGGAUCGCUUAUUGAAGAAGCUCGAUCGAAGUUUGCCUGUAACAGGAGUUCGAAAGGAAUUCGUUUACAGUAGAAGUUCGGAUGGAAUUCGCUUACAGUAGAGAUCCGGAGUAGACCGCUCGUAGUAGAAGUUCGGAGUAGACUGCUUGCAGUAGAGGUUCGGAGUAGAGAUCCUGCUGGUGGAGGCUGUUCAUCGUAGAAGCUCGUCUAUGAUCCAUCCACUGUAG
RNAcentral lists this long non-coding RNA (233 nucleotides) under Elaeis guineensis (African oil palm). RNAcentral describes it as "long non-coding RNA (EGUI_LNC035874)". Lineage: Eukaryota; Viridiplantae; Streptophyta; Magnoliopsida; Arecales; Arecaceae. The record is from RNAcentral.